UACGUAGGUGGCGAGCGUUAUCCGGAUUCACUGGGUGUAAAGGGUGUGUAGGCGGGGAGGCAAGUCAGAUGUGAAAACUACGGGCUCAACCCGUAACUUGCGUCUGAAACUGUUUCUCUUGAGAGUGGGAGAGGUAGAUGGAAUUCCUGGUGUAGCGGUGAAAUGCGUAGAUAUCAGGAGGAACACCGGUGGCGAAGGCGAUCUACUGGACCAUUACUGACGCUGAGACACGAAAGCGUGGGGAGCAAAC
RNAcentral lists this ribosomal RNA (250 nucleotides) under uncultured prokaryote. RNAcentral's name for it is "partial 16S ribosomal RNA". It matches the Rfam family "Bacterial small subunit ribosomal RNA", at positions 524 to 773 of the family's 1533-position model. The record is from RNAcentral.